UACAGAGGGUGCGAGCGUUAAUCGGAAUUACUGGGCGUAAAGCGUGCGUAGACGGUAGCGUAAGUCAGAUGUGAAAGCCCCGGGCUCAACCUGGGAAUUGCAUUUGAGACUGCUCUGCUCGGGUGCGGAAGAGGGAAGCGGAAUUUCCGGUGUAGCGGUGAAAUGCGUAGAUAUUGGGAAGAACACCGGUGGCGAAGGCGGCUCUCUGGACCGUAACUGACGCUGAGGCGCGACAGCGUGGGGGGCAAACAGG
This 253-nucleotide ribosomal RNA is filed under the name uncultured bacterium. RNAcentral's name for it is "partial 16S ribosomal RNA". It matches the Rfam family "Bacterial small subunit ribosomal RNA", at positions 524 to 776 of the family's 1533-position model. The record is from RNAcentral.